RNAcentral lists this ribosomal RNA (497 nucleotides) under uncultured bacterium. Its description in RNAcentral is "partial 16S ribosomal RNA". It matches the Rfam family "Bacterial small subunit ribosomal RNA", at positions 28 to 507 of the family's 1533-position model. The record is from RNAcentral.
GAUGAACGCUGGCGGCGUGCCUAAUACAUGCAAGUCGAGCGAACGGACGAGAAGCUUGCUUCUCUGAUGUUAGCGGCGGACGGGUGAGUAACACGUGGAUAACCUACCUAUAAGACUGGGAUAACUUCGGGAAACCGGAGCUAAUACCGGAUAAUAUUUUGAACCGCAUGGUUCAAAAGUGAAAGGCGGUCUUGCUGUCACUUAUAGAUGGAUCCGCGCUGCAUUAGCUAGUUGGUAAGGUAACGGCUUACCAAGGCAACGAUGCAUAGCCGACCUGAGAGGGUGAUCGGCCACACUGGAACUGAGACACGGUCCAGACUCCUACGGGAGGCAGCAGUAGGGAAUCUUCCGCAAUGGGCGAAAGCCUGACGGAGCAACGCCGCGUGAGUGAUGAAGGUCUUCGGAUCGUAAAACUCUGUUAUUAGGGAAGAACAUAUGUGUAAGUAACUGUGCACACCUUGACGGUACCUAAUCAGAAAGCCACGGCUAACUACGUG